UACGGAGGGGGCUAGCGUUGUUCGGCAUUACUGGGCGUAAAGCGCACGUAGGCGGCUUUGUAAGUUAGAGGUGAAAGCCCAGGGCUCAACCCUGGAAUUGCCUUUAAGACUGCAUCGCUUGAACAUCGGAGAGGUAAGUGGAAUUCCGAGUGUAGAGGUGAAAUUCGUAGAUAUUCGGAAGAACACCAGUGGCGAAGGCGACUUACUGGACGAUUGUUGACGCUGAGGUGCGAAAGCGUGGGGAGCAAACAGG
RNAcentral lists this ribosomal RNA (253 nucleotides) under uncultured bacterium. RNAcentral's name for it is "partial 16S ribosomal RNA". It matches the Rfam family "Bacterial small subunit ribosomal RNA", at positions 524 to 776 of the family's 1533-position model. The record is from RNAcentral.